Molecule: transfer RNA, 77 nt
Filed under: Caudoviricetes sp.
Lineage: Duplodnaviria; Heunggongvirae; Uroviricota; Caudoviricetes
Description: tRNA-Leu
Rfam family: tRNA
About the family: Transfer RNA (tRNA) molecules are approximately 80 nucleotides in length.
Source: RNAcentral
CCUCCGCUAGCCCAAUCGGUAGAGGCAGUGGACUCAAAAUCCAUUCAGUCCCGAUUCGAAUUCGGGGCGGAGGACCA